Vespa velutina is the source of this 2057-nucleotide long non-coding RNA. RefSeq lists it as uncharacterized. The record is from RefSeq and is a predicted model, not a curated record. NCBI's taxonomy places the organism in Eukaryota, Metazoa, Arthropoda, Insecta, Hymenoptera, Vespidae. The transcript has 3 exons.
UCUCUCUCUCUCUCUUUCUCUUACUCUUACUCUCUUGCAGUGAAGUUCGUGGUGGUUCAAGCGUUGGCGAUGAUCAAGACGAAAGCGACCGACUCUGUACGAGGAUGCGCGAAGGGAACCAACGAAUUUGACCGAUCGUUUUGACUGCGUGCGCAACGAGGAGUGAGGAGUAACAGAGAGGGAUCAGCCGAGGCUACUCGCACCGGCGCGAUUGCGUCUCGAAGACGCGUGGGUGUUCGGUACCGCCAUCACUACUGUUCGUAGCGAAAGGAAGUCUGCACGCGAAGCUAUGCGCGGUAGCCCAGCAAUCAAAGACUAGGACAAGAGAAAUGUAACAUUUUUAGGGGCUCGUUUGGGAUAGAAGAAAUAAAAAAAAAGUAUCAAUACAUAGCUUCGCAGAAGAGGCGUGAUAAGCAGCGGUCGGAGGAAAAAGGGGAGAUAGAGUUCCAGACGCUGACUCUUCUCGUUCAGAAGCUCCGGAAAGAACCCUGAAAAUAGCGGAGGAAGCUUGUAGCAGAGCGGUAACACAACAACCGAAAUGUAUGGUCCAAGAUUAGCACUGGCUAUUUACAAGGAAAAGAAAAAGAAACUCUGGUGAAAAGAAAUACAGGACUUAGUAAUUUGAUUAAGCGGGAAGUUUCCUUUAAAAAAGAAAGGUUGACCACGAAGACCAAGAUGCUAUGCAGAUUAGAGUUGAAGUGAGUAAAGAAAGAAAGGAAGAGAGAAGAACACUACCAGUUAUCGUCCGACUCCCGGAGUUUCUUAAACCAUGGUUUUCCCUCCGGGCAAAGAGAGUUAAUGUUCCAGAUCGAUAUUAGGACGGAGUUGUUCAAUAGGUAAGCCCCAUAGUAGCCCACCGCCUCCCCAAGGAGAUAUUCCAAGCGAGAACGGAAAAGAUCGGAAGGAACCUGAAAGAGAACUAUUGCCAAGUAGAGACCAAGAAACGGAUACCGCUUUAGUUCCUGAAGAACAUCGGGUUGGGACCGAGGAAUAGGGCAGCAUGAAGGAUUCAGCUAGGAUCAAAUGUUUUCACCGAAGAGUCCUAGAGUCCAGUUCUUGAAACAAGGAAAAGUUGGAAGGGAUCUGCUUGGCGAAGACCUUAGUUAUCGGGACAAUAAUUCGAAGAAUGAGGGCAGUGUUACAAUUCUAGAGACGUCCUGAGUGUGUUCGGAAUAAAUAGACCGUUUCCAGGAACCGAGAUGUUGACAGAUUUCGACAAACAGUUGUCUUUGACAAGAGCUCGAUGAGAGAAGAAGUGGAGCACGAACGCUCCCGAUUGCGAAGAUUGUUGUAAAACCGGAUUGUACAUUGAACUAUUCUUAUUUGUAAUAAAGUUUCGUUGACGUUUCCUUCUUGAGAGUGUAAUAAUAUUUAACCUGUUAGCUAUUUAUGACGAGUAUAUAAUGAAUAUAAUACUAAGUAAUAUACAGAUUUAUUAUAUUUAAAGUAAGAGCUACUUGAAUAUCUCGUUUGUUAGGUGCAAUAGAAAAAGAACGUAUUAAAAAAAGUUUCAUGAUUUCAUAUGUCAAAUAUUUUAAGAGGACAAAAUAUAAAGCAUCUGAUUUCCGAUUAAAUUGAAAGUUUAACGAUUUUUAAUUUUUCCGAUUUUAACGAUUUUUAUAUAAAAGAACUCCAUGUAUUUUUCUAAUUACUUAGAUAUUUUAAUCAAUUAUCUUCAAAAAAUUAUUAAACAAGUGUAGGCCUGAAUUUAAUAAUUAAUGAGAUGUUAGCGUGUAUAGUUAUAUGACCAUAUAACAUAAUAGUACAUAACCAAUAAUACAUACUUCCAUACGUAAACAAUUUUAAGAGAACAUGAAAUAAUGAAAAUUGUACAAAACCAUCUUACAAUAAGUUUAGGUAUUAUCUUACAAAGACUGUUAAUUGAAAACAAAAACAUGAAAAUUAAUUUAUAAUAACAAAAAAGAUAAUAGCUUACUUAAUUCAAUAAAUCCAAAGUAUUCACUACUUUCUUAUAUGUACAAUCGACAUCUUAUAACCAUACUUCUUCAUAAUUUUUCUAACAUUUCAGAUGUUAUUUAAUUAACGGCAUUUAUAAU